AGAGCUCGUAGGUGGUUUGUCGCGUUGUUCGUGAAAUCUCACGGCUUAACUGUGAGCGUGCGGGCGAUACGGGCAGACUUGAGUACUGCAGGGGAGACUGGAAUUCCUGGUGUAGCGGUGGAAUGCGCAGAUAUCAGGAGGAACACCGGUGGCGAAGGCGGGUCUCUGGGCAGUAACUGACGCUGAGGAGCGAAAGCGUGGGGAGCGAACAGGAUUAGAUACCCUGGUAGUCCACGCCGUAAACGGUGGGUACUAGGUGUGGGUUUCCUUCCUUGGGAUCCGUGCCGUAGCUAACGCAUUAAGUACCCCGCCUGGGGAGUACGGCCGCAAGGCUAAAACUCAAAGAAAUUGACGGGGGCCCGCACAAGCGGCGGAGCAUGUGGAUUAAUUCGAUGCAACGCGAAGAACCUUACCUGGGUUUGACAUGCACAGGACGCCGGCAGAGAUGUCGGUUCCCUUGUGGCCUGUGUGCAGGUGGUGCAUGGCUGUCGUCAGCUCGUGUCGUGAGAUGUUGGGUUAAGUCCCGCAACGAGCGCAACCCUUGUCUCAUGUUGCCAGCGGGUAAUGCCGGGGACUCGUGAGAGACUGCCGGGGUCAACUCGGAGGAAGGUGGGGAUGACGUCAAGUCAUCAUGCCCCUUAUGUCCAGGGCUUCACACAUGCUACAAUGGCCGGUACAAAGGGCUGCGAUGCCGCGAGGUUAAGCGAAUCCUUUUAAAGCCGGUCUCAGUUCGGAUCGGGGUCUGCAACUCGACCCCGUGAAGUCGGAGUCGCUUAGUAAUCGCAGAUCAGCAACGCUG
This 799-nucleotide ribosomal RNA is filed under the name uncultured bacterium. RNAcentral describes it as "bacterial SSU rRNA". It matches the Rfam family "Bacterial small subunit ribosomal RNA", at positions 564 to 1359 of the family's 1533-position model. The record is from RNAcentral.